Molecule: long non-coding RNA, 802 nt
Filed under: Homo sapiens (human)
Lineage: Eukaryota; Metazoa; Chordata; Mammalia; Primates; Hominidae
Description: HSALNT0019235
Source: RNAcentral
GAAAAGGUGGGGGUUUGCAAAGGGAGUAACUUCUGGUUCCUUUGUUACUUAGGUAUGGAAAGUUAGGGUUUUCCUUUCACUUUAGUUCUAGGAAGUCAGCGUGAAACGCCUGAAGUUUUCUGCCUCCAGACUCUACUCUCCUGCCUCAAUUCUACUCUCUACUUUUAUAAGCUCGACUCACAUGACGAAAGCCCUCAUCAGAUGCUUACAUCAUGAUCUUGGACUUCCCAGCCUCCAGACUGAUGCUAUGGAAGAUCAGAAAAUAUAAAUUUAUGAACUGCUAUAAACUGUUAUUUUCUUCGUGAAGAUCAGCCUCCAGGUUCAUCACAUGACUCAGCUAAGAGAAAAUAUCCAGUGGCUCAUCGUUACCUGUGGGAGGAGGUCUGAACUCCAUGGCUUUGCAUUCAUGUUCUUGUUUGUCUCACUUCAACCUUCAUUCCCUCCAAGUCCUCGUUGUCCUCCCAGGGUUCCUCUGCUACAGCCGGGGGAGUCUGAUCCCUGCUUCCUAAAUUUCUCUGAAGCUUAUCUACACCUAUGUUUUUGCUCCACUCUUCUUUCUCCUUUAUACACCAAUUAUUCUCCUGUUUUAUCCAAAUUAUUCCCUUCUGCAAGACUCACAUCAAGUACGAUUUCUUUCUAGAUGGCUCUAACUCAGUUAUUGUUAUCUAAUUGCACACAUAUCUCUGAUUAUUGGCAUUAGUCAUUUGGAAAUUUAUUGUAUGCUGCUUUGUUUUAUUAUUUCUCUUUUUCACCUGCCUUGUGCUUACUUCCCCAAUUGGACUACAGAUUCUUUAAGGAUUAG